This 305-nucleotide long non-coding RNA is filed under the name Nicotiana benthamiana. RNAcentral describes it as "long non-coding RNA (NBEN_LNC011463)". The record is from RNAcentral. Lineage: Eukaryota; Viridiplantae; Streptophyta; Magnoliopsida; Solanales; Solanaceae.
AGUGGAGUCCCCUAACUUGGUCUGGUGUAAUAAAUUCAUCAACUGGUCAUAAUCUUGUCUGCUCAACCCUGGUAUCACAGAGCUGUGGCCAUCUAUUCUUGCAAUAGAUUGAUGGCUAUCAGGAGGAUUCCCUUGAGGAACAGACAAAAGUCCAUUAGAAAGAGGAGAAUCAAGACCAGUACUUAGAUGAGCAGCAGCAGGUCUCCCUUCCUUGUUAAAGUGGUACUUUGUGGAUACCCAUGGAUCUUGAAGCACUUAUCAAUUAAGUGUCCAAAUGUUUUACAGUAUCUACAGAAUUGAGGUCC